AUACAUACCUGGCAGGGGAGAUACCAUGAUCACGAAGGGAGUUCAGCCAGGCCGAGGUUCAGCCAUUGCACUGCGGCUGUGGUGACCCCUGCAAAUUCCCCAAAUGUGAGAAUCUCAACUGCAUGAUUUCUGGUAGUGGGGGACUGUGUUCACAUCCUCCCC
Small nuclear RNA from Paramormyrops kingsleyae, 162 nucleotides. Its record names the gene U1. It matches the Rfam family "U1 spliceosomal RNA". From Rfam's summary of the family: U1 is a small nuclear RNA (snRNA) component of the spliceosome (involved in pre-mRNA splicing). Its 5' end forms complementary base pairs with the 5' splice junction, thus defining the 5' donor site of an intron. The record is from Ensembl. NCBI's taxonomy places the organism in Eukaryota, Metazoa, Chordata, Actinopteri, Osteoglossiformes, Mormyridae.